GCAGCUAUGGCCGAGUGGUUUAAGGCGACGGACUUAAGACCCGUUAUCAUUGAUGCGUGGGUUCGAACCCCACUGGCUGCA
RNAcentral lists this transfer RNA (81 nucleotides) under Alphaproteobacteria bacterium. Its description in RNAcentral is "tRNA-Leu". It matches the Rfam family "tRNA". Rfam says of the family: Transfer RNA (tRNA) molecules are approximately 80 nucleotides in length. Their secondary structure includes four short double-helical elements and three loops (D, anti-codon, and T loops). Further hydrogen bonds mediate the characteristic L-shaped molecular structure. tRNAs have two regions of fundamental functional importance: the anti-codon, which is responsible for specific mRNA codon recognition, and the 3' end, to which the tRNAs corresponding amino acid is attached (by aminoacyl-tRNA synthetases). tRNAs cope with the degeneracy of the genetic code in two manners: having more than one tRNA (with a specific anti-codon) for a particular amino acid; and 'wobble' base-pairing, i.e. permitting non-standard base-pairing at the 3rd anti-codon position. The record is from RNAcentral. Lineage: Bacteria; Pseudomonadati; Pseudomonadota; Alphaproteobacteria.